AAACUGGAGAGUUUGAUCCUGGCUCAGAACAAACGCUGGCGGCGUGCCUAACACAUGCAAGUCGUACGAGAAAGUCCGCUUCGGU
This 85-nucleotide ribosomal RNA is filed under the name Deltaproteobacteria bacterium HGW-Deltaproteobacteria-2. RNAcentral describes it as "partial 16S ribosomal RNA". It matches the Rfam family "Bacterial small subunit ribosomal RNA", at positions 1 to 84 of the family's 1533-position model. Lineage: Bacteria; Deltaproteobacteria. The record is from RNAcentral.